AUACGGAGGGGGCUAGCGUUGUUCGGAAUCACUGGGCGUAAAGAGUACGUAGGGGGCCUACUAAGUCAGAUGGGAAAGCCCAGGGCUCAACCUUGGAACUGCAUUUGAAACUGGUAGGCUAGAGUAUGGUAGAGGGAAGUGGAAUUCCAGGUGUAGCGGUGGAAUGCGUAGAUAUCAGGAAGAACACCUGUGGCGACGGCGGCUAGCUGGGCCAACACUGACGCUGAACUGCGAAAGCGUGGGGAGCAAACAGGAUUAGAAACCCCGGUAGUCC
RNAcentral lists this ribosomal RNA (274 nucleotides) under uncultured bacterium. RNAcentral describes it as "partial 16S ribosomal RNA". It matches the Rfam family "Bacterial small subunit ribosomal RNA", at positions 523 to 796 of the family's 1533-position model. The record is from RNAcentral.